Anopheles gambiae (African malaria mosquito) is the source of this 329-nucleotide long non-coding RNA. RefSeq lists it as uncharacterized. Lineage: Eukaryota; Metazoa; Arthropoda; Insecta; Diptera; Culicidae. The transcript has 3 exons. The record is from RefSeq and is a predicted model, not a curated record.
CUUUUGUUUACUUUUUAUUCAAAGAUAGCCGCGUCGCUUUUCGUGCGCUUAUAAAACCCAGUUUUUGUGUAGAUUUCUGUGUACAAGCUUGAUUUCCUUGCUACCUAUCCGUGUUACCUCUGUGAUUGUGGGUGGUUGUUGUGUGCAAUUCGAUCGGGAGUUGCUAAUUUUGUUCACCUGUAAAACCUGUUACCAUGAGCGGUUCGAAUGUGGGAGCUACUAGCUGUGGAUGCGGGCAAGAAUGCAAUUGCACAAGCAUUGCUAACGAAAAUGCCAAACAAUUACAUACUUUAAAAAAUUUGAUACUAGAUGCAAAUAUGAAAUUAGAC